GGGGAUAACAGCUGGAAACAGCUGCUAAUACCGCAUAUGCCCGCAGUGCCGCAUGGCACAGCGGGGAAAACUCCGGUGGUAUGCGAUGGGUCCGCGUCUGAUUAGGCAGUUGGCGGGGUAACGGCCCACCAAACCGACGAUCAGUAGCCGGCCUGAGAGGGCGGACGGCCACACUGGGACUGAGACACGGCCCAGACUCCUGCGGGAGGCAGCAGUGGGGAAUAUUGCACAAUGGGGGAAACCCUGAUGCAGCGACGCCGCGUGAAGGAAGAAGUAUCUCGGUAUGUAAACUUCUAUCAGCAGGGAAGAAAACAGACGGUACCUGACUAAGAAGCCCCGGCUAACUACGUGCCAGCAGCCGCGGUAAUACGUAGGGGGCAAGCGUUAUCCGGAUUUACUGGGUGUAAAGGGGGCGCAGACGGCAUGGCAAGCCCGGUGUGAAAGGCAGGGGCAUAACCCCUGGACUGCACUGGGAACUGUCAGGCUGGAGUGCCGGAGGGGUAAGCGGAAUUCCUGGUGUAGCGGUGAAAUGCGUAGAUAUCAGGAGGAACACCGGCGGCGAAGGCGGCUUACUGGACGGCAACUGACGUUGAGGCCCGAAAGCGUGGGGAGCGAACAGGAUUAGAUACCCUGGUAGUCCACGCCGUAAACGAUGUA
RNAcentral lists this ribosomal RNA (657 nucleotides) under uncultured bacterium. Its description in RNAcentral is "bacterial SSU rRNA". It matches the Rfam family "Bacterial small subunit ribosomal RNA", at positions 139 to 813 of the family's 1533-position model. The record is from RNAcentral.